AAUUGGUUUUCGGGUGCAACCUCAACUUCCUUCAUUCCUAAGGGUUUAGAGAGAACGUUGGACGCUCCCGGUAUUGUAGAUAAUUUCUACUUGAAUUUACUAGAAUGGAGCAGCAGCAACAUUCUUGCAAUUGCUCUUGGAAACUCAGUGUACCUAUGGCAGAGCUCACUGGCCAUACCUCCAGAGUUCUCUUCAUGACACAGACCCCAGGUGGAUGCACUGUGGCCACUGCAGCCGCGGAUGAGACGGUUCGAACUUGGAAUGUGUUUGGGAUUCCGGGAGUUUCAGAACCUCUACGAAAAGAAAAUCUGCUGCCAUUUGCUCAUUCAAGCUCCAUUCGUUGAAGAUCAUGUAAAUGCUGGAGAGAAGUUUGUCUGUUUUGUCUCGGAUGCCAAACCAAGCAGAUAAGUGUAUAUGGUGUACAUUAUUGUUUACAAGAGCAAAAGCAAAUAAGUGAAUAUGGUUACACGAAUAGAGAAAAAGAAAAAAGCAGUUUUGAUUAGUGAUUGGCAUGCAGUCUCUCAGUUCAGUAUAUCUGAAUAGACAAUAUAA
Prunus avium (sweet cherry) is the source of this 552-nucleotide non-coding RNA. The record is from RefSeq and is a predicted model, not a curated record. NCBI's taxonomy places the organism in Eukaryota, Viridiplantae, Streptophyta, Magnoliopsida, Rosales, Rosaceae.